AAUUAAUAUUAAUCAAUAUAACAAAAAAUAUUUUAACCAUAUGGUCCUUUCGUACUAAUAUGGAUUAACAAUCUUAGGAUAGAAACCGACCUGGCUCACGCCGGUCUGAACUCAGAUCAUGUAAGAAUUUAAAGGUCGAACAGACCUAAUCAUUGGGCUCCUGCACCCAAAAUUUUUCUUAAUCCAACAUCGAGGUCGCAAUCUGCUUUGUCGAUAUGAGCUCUCAAAAACAAUUACGCUGUUAUCCCUAAGGUAACUUAAUCUUAUGAUCAUAAAUUAUGGAUCAGAAUAACAAACAUAAAUAAAUGAUAUAAUAAUGAAGAGUUUAUCUAUUCUUCAUGUCACCCCAACAAAACAUCAUCAUUAAAUAUAGAAAGACAAACAAAAAACUAUAUAAAAGUAAAAUGUCAAGCUCUAUAGGGUCUUCUCGUCCUAAAGAAGAAUUUAAGCCUUUUGACUCAAAAGUUAAAUUCAAAAAUUUAUUAAGAGACAGUUGAUUUCUCGUCAAGCCAUUCAUUCCAGCCACUAAUUAAGUGACUAAUGAUUAUGCUACCUUUGCACGGUCAAAAUACCGCGGCUCUUUAAAAAUACGCUCAGUGAGCAGGCCAGACCUCAAAAUAUAAACAAGAGAUAUUUUUUUGAUAAACAGGCGGAAAUCAAUUUUGCCUAGUUCCUUAUAAUAAGUUCACAAGGUAAAAAUUUCAUACAAAUAAAUAUACUAAUUCUAUCAUUAUUACAAAAAUUUUAAAAUUAAAUUAAUAAUCUUAAUAAAAAACCUAAAAUAUUUAUAAAAUCAAAAUAAAAAAUAAUGAACUAAAACGUAAUCUUAAAGAUAGCUGGUUUAAAGCUUACUAUUAUAUUUCUAUAAAAUAAAUUAUAGGUUAUUAACUUCAAAGCUUAUCCCUUAAAGAAUAAAUAAGUUAAUAUUUUUACUUAAAAAAUUAAAUAAAAACAAAUAACUUUAAAAAAUUAAAUUUUUUCUUAAGAAACUAGAUAUCUUGGGAAACGAUUAACAUCUCAUUUCUAUAAAUAAUUUAAUAAUUAUUAUGAUACAUUAACUAUAAAUUAUUUAUAAAUCAACCCAAAUCGAGACAAGUAAAAUAAAUACUAAAAUUUAGAUAAACCCUGAUACAAAAGGUACAAUAAAUGAAA
This is a long non-coding RNA of Schistocerca gregaria, 1152 nucleotides long. RefSeq lists it as uncharacterized. The transcript is spliced from 2 exons. Lineage: Eukaryota; Metazoa; Arthropoda; Insecta; Orthoptera; Acrididae. The record is from RefSeq and is a predicted model, not a curated record.